GACGAACGCUGGCGGCGUGCUUAACACAUGCAAGUCGAACGGAAAGGCCCUGCUUUUGUGGGGUGCUCGAGUGGCGAACGGGUGAGUAACACGUGAGUAACCUGCCCUUGACUUUGGGAUAACUUCAGGAAACUGGGGCUAAUACCGGAUAGGAGCUCCUGCUGCAUGGUGGGGGUUGGAAAGUUUCGGCGGUUGGGGAUGGACUCGCGGCUUAUCAGCUUGUUGGUGGGGUAGUGGCUUACCAAGGCUUUGACGGGUAGCCGGCCUGAGAGGGUGACCGGCCACAUUGGGACUGGGGUCCGGCCCAGGCCCCUACCGGGGGCAGGAGUGGGGAAUAUUGCGAAAUGGGGCGGAACCUGAUGGCGCAACGCCGCGGUCGGGAUGACGGCCUUUAGGUUGUAAACCGCUUUCGCCUGUUGCGAAGGGUGGGUGGCGGUAAUGGGUAAAGAAGCCCCCGCUAACUAAG
RNAcentral lists this ribosomal RNA (466 nucleotides) under uncultured bacterium. RNAcentral describes it as "partial 16S ribosomal RNA". It matches the Rfam family "Bacterial small subunit ribosomal RNA", at positions 28 to 505 of the family's 1533-position model. The record is from RNAcentral.